GGGGCAGCUAUUCCAUAGAUUCUGAGAAGCUGGCUGCCUCAUGUUGUGUGGUUGGGCCGUACUCUGAGAACACAUACAUAAUUUGACCCCCGACAUGGUGCCUGUGUCCGUACUUUUGCAGGAACAGGAGGAUAACAACCCUAGUCCGAUUUUCCCUUGAUGGGCUAGGUAAAGAGGCAUGGUGACCUCUGACCGCAAGGUGGCCUCUGCCCAGCCUCUCUCUCUCUCUCUGGCUCCGGUCUACCAGCUGAAGAGCUUCAUGAAGCUCUUGAAGCCGUCCUCCCCGAAGAAGUCGAAGGAGCCCUGGGAGGUUCCCAGGUGCACCAGGAGGAGCACCAGCAGCACCACGGCCAGCAGGGGGACCAGCAUGUUCCAGCCCGCAGCCAGGAUGUUGUACCACUUGGCCUUGUCUGAGCACUCCUGGGCCAGCUGCAGGUUGCCCUGGGUCUUCUGGUCUCUGGCCUGGAUGGGUGCAAAGACACGGAACCGAUUCAGAAGACAAGCAGGCCUAAGGCGUCCAGAUGGGUGUCCUUGUUGCCGUGCUUGAGGAUGAUGACGCACCUAAUGCACAGCCCACUGUCUUCAACAUUGCUGUCGCGUUGGAGCAUCUACUGUUGUAGAUGCCUUGCACGGAGGGGAGAUGGCUGCCGGUGAUACGCUCCGCUGUCUUCACCACCCUCUGCAGGGCCUUGCGGUCGGCAGCGGAGCAGCUACCAUACCAGGCAGUGAUGCAGCCUGAGAGGAUGCUCUCAAUGGUGCCUCUGUAAAAAACAUAAGUAGCAUAGACAUUUUGUCGGUAAACAGUUACUGAAAUAUAUUCAAUUUUUUUGCUUUGGAUGUUGCGGCAGGGGCUGUUUAUAAUGUUAACGUUUAAACUUUUCAUUUAUUUUAAACUUGCAAAAUGGUUUAAAAUGCAAAAGCUGGUUUAUUGUCCGUUUGUGUAAUUGUUAAUAGGAUUUACUUUGUAAGACAAACUCAAAAUGGACGUUUUUACACACGAAUGAUUCAACAUCAUAUUGACGUAGAAUUCUUAGUCUGUGCAACUAGAUUUGUGAAGCUUUAGGUUUCUUUUAUUUAGGGAGGGGGAGAGGAGAGGGAGGCAGGGGGAAAGGGAGACGAGGAGUUGAAGAUGGAGGCAGGGGGAGAGGAGGAGAGGGAGACGGGGGGAGCGAGGAGAGGGAGAAGGAGACAAGAAACAAUUUGCCUCAACAUUAAAUAUACUUGGUACAACUGUAGGAAUUAAGUUGGCACAACUGUGAUAGUUUAUUUUAAGUUUGAGUUGACAUGAAAAUCCAGUCCUUUACUUUAAUGCAGUUUAUAUCUUUAAAGCAGUCAUUUAACCCAUAAAAUGCACCUGGUUUGAGACUAUGGCCAAAGUUGACCAAUGUCAUGCACUUCACCAUAAGCAUUUCACAAUCAGUACAUAGUGUGAGAGUUCCACUAUUUUAAAAAAUACAUGCCUUAGUUAAGGCCACAACUUC
This is a long non-coding RNA of Gadus morhua (Atlantic cod), 1481 nucleotides long. RefSeq lists it as uncharacterized. The record is from RefSeq and is a predicted model, not a curated record. NCBI's taxonomy places the organism in Eukaryota, Metazoa, Chordata, Actinopteri, Gadiformes, Gadidae. The transcript is spliced from 4 exons.